Molecule: ribosomal RNA, 466 nt
Filed under: uncultured bacterium
Lineage: Bacteria
Description: bacterial SSU rRNA
Rfam family: Bacterial small subunit ribosomal RNA
Source: RNAcentral
GUACGGGAGGCAGCAGUGGGGAAUAUUGGACAAUGGGCGCAAGCCUGAUCCAGCCAUGCCGCGUGGGUGAAGAAGGCCUUCGGGUUGUAAAGCCCUUUUGUCCGGAAAGAAAAGCUCGCGGUUAAUACCCGUGGGUUCUGACGGUACCGGAAGAAUAAGCACCGGCUAACUUCGUGCCAGCAGCCGCGGUAAUACGAAGGGUGCAAGCGUUACUCGGAAUUACUGGGCGUAAAGCGUGCGUAGGUGGUUCGUUAAGUCUGUCGUGAAAUCCCCGGGCUCAACCUGGGAAUGGCGAUGGAUACUGGCGGGCUAGAGUGCGGUAGAGGAGAGUGGAAUUCCCGGUGUAGCAGUGAAAUGCGUAGAGAUCGGGAGGAACAUCAGUUGCGAAGGCGGCUCUCUGGACCAGCACUGACACUGAGGCACGAAAGCGUGGGGAGCAAACAGGAUUAGAUACCCGGGUAGUCCU